UACGGAGGAUCCAAGCGUUAUCCGGAUUCAUUGGGUUUACAGGGUGCGUAGGCGGAAUGAUAAGUCAGUGGUGAAAGCCUGCAGCUUAACUGCAGAACUGCCAUUGAUACUGUCAAUCUUGAGUACAUUUGAUGUGGGCGGAAUGUGUCAUGUAGCGGUGAAAUGCUUAGAUAUGACACAGAACACCGAUUGCGAAGGCAGCUCACAAAACUGUAACUGACGCUGAGGCACGAAAGCGUGGGUAUCAAACAGG
This 253-nucleotide ribosomal RNA is filed under the name uncultured bacterium. RNAcentral's name for it is "partial 16S ribosomal RNA". It matches the Rfam family "Bacterial small subunit ribosomal RNA", at positions 524 to 776 of the family's 1533-position model. The record is from RNAcentral.